UUUUUAAUAUUAAGACAAGAUAAAAGAAACAUAUUAAAGAACUGUAAACACUGACUGUCUGCCUCCUGCUUGUGUAUUGGAUUUGGGAUUGAUUUUUGACACUAUCUCCUUCUUCUAGAUGUUAACAGGGUGAACAGGCAGUGGCUCUGGUGGCUAAUGUCCUUGAUGAUCUUCUAGAUGUUAGCAGGGUGAACAGGCCGUGGCUCUGGUGGUUAAUGUUCUGAUGAUCUUCUAGAUGUUAACAGUGUGAACAGGCAGUGGCUCAGGUGGUUAAUGUUCCUGAUGAUCUUCUAGAUGUUAGCAGGGCGAACAGGCCGUGGCUCAGGUGGUUAAUGUUCUGAUGAUCUUCUAGAUGUUAGCAGGGUGAACAGGCCGUGGCUCAGGUGGUUAAUGUUCUGAUGAUCUUCUAGAUGUUAGCAGGGUGAACAGGCAGUGGCUCAGGUGGUUAAUGUUCUGAUGAUCUUCUAGAUGUUAGCAGGGUGAACAGGCAGUGGCUCAGGUGGUUAAUGUUCUGAUGAUCUUCUAGAUGUUAGCAGGGUGAACAGGCAGUGGCUCAGGUGGUUAAUGUUCUGAUGAUCUUCUAGAUGUUAGCAGGGUGAACAGGCCGUGGCUCUGGUGGCUGAGGUCCUUGAAGAUCUUCUUGACCUUCCUGUGACACCAGGUUCUGUAGGUGUCCUGGAGGGCAGGCAGUGUGCCCCCAAUGAUGCGUUGGGCUGACCGUAUCACCCUCUGGAGAGCCCUGCGAUUGCGGACGGUGCAGUUGCUCGACAGAAUGUGACAGAAGCUCGACAGAAUGUGCUCAAUGGUGCAUCUGUAGAA
RNAcentral lists this long non-coding RNA (819 nucleotides) under Salmo salar (Atlantic salmon). RNAcentral describes it as "lncRNA (ENSSSAG00000108607.1)". The record is from RNAcentral. Lineage: Eukaryota; Metazoa; Chordata; Actinopteri; Salmoniformes; Salmonidae.